RNAcentral lists this transfer RNA (72 nucleotides) under Ictidomys tridecemlineatus (thirteen-lined ground squirrel). Its description in RNAcentral is "Spermophilus tridecemlineatus (thirteen-lined ground squirrel) tRNA". It matches the Rfam family "tRNA". From Rfam's summary of the family: Transfer RNA (tRNA) molecules are approximately 80 nucleotides in length. Their secondary structure includes four short double-helical elements and three loops (D, anti-codon, and T loops). The record is from Rfam by way of RNAcentral. Lineage: Eukaryota; Metazoa; Chordata; Mammalia; Rodentia; Sciuridae.
GGGGUUGUGGCUCAGCGGUAGAGCACUCGUCUAGUGCGUGCAAGGUCCUGGGUUCGAUCCUCAGCACCAUCU